GCAGAAGCAAAUAUACUUACUUAACUUAAGGGAGUUAGUACAAUCAUAGAAUUGUUGUUGAAUACCAUAUAUUCAACUUAAAAAAAAUUAAACAUAUUUAUAAAAAAAAUUCGCUUGCAACAUAUAUUGCGUCCACUAGUUGCCUGCAAAAAAAA
This 155-nucleotide unclassified non-coding RNA is filed under the name Schizosaccharomyces pombe (fission yeast). RNAcentral's name for it is "non-coding RNA (predicted)". The record is from RNAcentral. Lineage: Eukaryota; Fungi; Ascomycota; Schizosaccharomycetes; Schizosaccharomycetales; Schizosaccharomycetaceae.